UACGUAGGGUGCAAGCGUUGUCCGGAAUUAUUGGGCGUAAAGAGCUCGUAGGCGGUUUGUCGCGUCUGCUGUGAAAACCCGAGGCUCAACCUCGGGCCUGCAGUGGGUACGGGCAGACUAGAGUGCGGUAGGGGAGACUGGAAUUCCUGGUGUAGCGGUGAAAUGCGCAGAUAUCAGGAGGAACACCGGUGGCGAAGGCGGGUCUCUGGGCAACUACUGACGCUGAGGAGCGAAAGCGUGGGGAGCGAACAGG
This 253-nucleotide ribosomal RNA is filed under the name uncultured bacterium. RNAcentral describes it as "partial 16S ribosomal RNA". It matches the Rfam family "Bacterial small subunit ribosomal RNA", at positions 524 to 776 of the family's 1533-position model. The record is from RNAcentral.